RNAcentral lists this long non-coding RNA (2836 nucleotides) under Monodelphis domestica (gray short-tailed opossum). RNAcentral's name for it is "lncRNA (ENSMODG00000039294.1)". The record is from RNAcentral. Lineage: Eukaryota; Metazoa; Chordata; Mammalia; Didelphimorphia; Didelphidae.
AUGGAUUUGAUUGUUCUUUCCUCUUUGAAUCAAUUUCAAUGCAUGUAUAAGUAUUUUCUAUCUCCAACCUCUUUAUGCUUCCAGUGUAUUGGUGUUCUCUCCCACUCCCACCAUGCACUUCUUUAUGAUAUAUACAUUUACCCUAUUUUGUUUCUUUUCCCAUUUAUCUCAGUCUUAGCAUUUCAUCCUAUACAGUUUGUCACUCUUCCCUCUAAGUAUAAUACUUGUAGCUCCCCAGGUGAUAAUUACAAUUUUUUAGAGUUACCAAUAUCUUCUUUUCUUGUAGGGAUACAUAUCAUUUUAACUUAUUGGCUCCCUUAAAAAAAGUGUUGUUUUGUUUCCCCUUUCUUAACUAUCUUUUGGUGAUUUUCUUAAGUUCUGUGUUUGGGCAUCAAAUUUUCUCUUCAGGUCUGGUCUUUUCUUUAUGAAUGCUUGGACGUCUUCUAUUUUAUUAAAUGACUGUACUUUCUCCUGCAAGAAUUUAGUCAGUUUUGCUGGUAGUUAAUUCUUUGUUAUAGAACUAGUGCCCUUGCUUUCUGGAAUAUCAUAUUCCAUUUCUUUUGGUCCUUCAGUUAUAACAGAUACUGUGUUAUCCUAACUAUAGUUACAUAGUUUCUGAAUUAUUUCUUCUUAGUAGCUUAUAAUAUUUUUUUCCUUGGUCUGGUAGUUCUUGAAUUUGACCAUAACAUUCCUGGGUAUUGUCAGUUGGGGAUAAAGUAUAGGAGGUGAUCUGUAGAUUCUUUUAAUCUCCACUUUCCUCUCUUGCUCUAGAAUGUCAGGGCAGUUUUCUUGGAUAAUUUCCUAUAGAAUGAUGUCUAGGCUUUUUCUUUUGUCAUAAUCUUCGAGCAGACCAAUGAUUCUUAAGUUGUCUCUCCUGGACCUAUUUUCUAGAUCUUCCAUUUUAUGGAUGAGGCAUUUCAUAUUUCCCUCAAUUUUUUCAUUCUUUUGAUUUUGUUUUAUAGUUUCCUGCUGCCUUGUAAAGUCUUUUGCUUCUACUUGUAUUCUAGUUUUUAAAGACUGAAUUUCAUCCCUGGCUUUUUGGUCAUCCUCCUUUUGGUCUGAUUUUCUUUGAAGGUCAUCUUUCUUCUUCUUUGCCACAUCUUUCAUUUACUUUGCAUCAUUUUCAAGUUGAUUAAUUUUGGCUUUCAAGACACUAUUUUCUAUUUCCAUAUGACUUAUUUUGCUUUUUAAGUUUUUUUCCCAGUUGUAUUCAGCUUCUUAAUGGUUUGAAUUAAAUACAUACAGAUACAUUUUUUUUGAAUUGUAUUUUGAGUUCUUCCAAAGCCUGUGUCCAAUUCGCUGAAGUUUCUGUGCUUUUGUUUGGUGUUCCUUGAUCUUCCUCUGUUUCAUUUUCUCUUUGUUCAUUGCCUGGAUAAAAGCUGUCAAUUGUAAUUUCUUUUUUCUUUUUCUGUUGUUUGCUCAUAUUUUCCUCUCUUUCCCCCCUGUAGCUGCAGUUUUGCUCCUCUAAUUAUGUGCUGGAUCUGUGAGUUUGGGCUGUUUUUUCCUGAAGGGGCUUCUUCUCUCUUCUGCUGUUUGAACAGGUAGUCUGGUCUUUUCUGGCUGACAGAAGAAGCUGUGAUUUCCUUAUAUUUUAAUUAUUAGGGAAGAAAGGAGAAAUCAUGUCGCAUCUUACUCCCCACCCUCCACCCAUAGAUAUCUAGCCAAAGUGAUAGGUCUCAAAAAAAGAGUCAGAUGUAUGGCAUGUAGCUGAAUUCAGGAGGGUGGCUUACUUUCAAGUAAACCAAUCUUCUGAUUAAAACUGACCUGCCCAAUGCUCAGGUAGAGUUAUGAGCUAAGUUGAAGUAAAGAUGUUCUUAAUGACUUAGACAUAGACAGGAAAGAUUCAGAAUUAAAUAGGAUAUAGAUGUCCUUGUCUUUGUCCUCCCCCCUUUUCCUUUUGCUCUCCCCUCCUUUCUCUCCCCUCUUGUUCCCCACUUCUCUUCCUUUUCUUCCUUCCUCUUCCCCACCUCUUCUUUCUUGUAUUCCUCCUCCUCUUCCUUCCCCAUACCCCUUCUCUUCCUCCUCCUCCUCCUCCUCAUCUAUAUGAAGGCUUAUUCCCUUUCCCCUACCUAGUCAGGACAACCAAUAUGCAGCCAGGCUCACCACUGGCUAUAUAAAAAUAGUCAUAGGGUAUAGUGAGUAGGAAAAGCACUGAAUGAAAUUUGAAAUCAUAGGUUCUUGAUUAAAUCCUUCUUCCACUUACUAGCAAUGUUACUUUCGGAAAGUCAUUUAAUCUUUCUUGGUCUUAGUUUUCUCAAAUGUAAAAUGAGAUGCAUAAACUGAAUGGCAUACAACCUCUAUAUGUAUGCUCUAAUGACCAAUGGACUCAUACAGGAAGGCACAAUCUUUCCUAAACUGAUUAUAUUCCAUUUGCUUUCACAGUCUGUCCCCAUACUUAGGUCCAAAAGAGGGAUAUUUGUUUUGUAUGUCCUUUUGUCAUCAAUGAUAAUAUCUCUGAGAUAAUAUCACUUAUAGUCUUACAAUGAAGAUUAGGGAGAAAAAAAAGCUAUAUGUGUGUCAUUUGAUCUAAUUCUUAAACUCUUAGAGACAGCUGAACUUAUAUUUCCUUCCAAACAAACAUGAUAUAUAACUGAUUGAAUCCAGUGUGCUAAGUAAGCCUUUCUUCCCCUAUUUAUUCAAUACACAGUCAUUAUGGUUAUUCAGAUUACCUUAAUCUAAUUGGUGUAUGGGCAAAGUAUAAUCAAAAUAUCGACUGAAACCCAAUAUUUGAAGAAAAGAAAUCCUCAAAUUGUAAGGGAACAUGAGUACUAAAUUAACAAAGUAUUUUAUUAAAUAUUUCAGAAUAAAGAAAAAUAACCUAAUUUCUGAUGAAGCA